AUGUUACCCCUAAAUUCUGUUUUUCUUUGCAGGAGAAAAGAAAAUAGGAGAAGAAACAACGGCAACUUGAAUUUUAAACAGAAAAAAGGAAAAUUGGUAAGAAGCAUAAGCGGAAUCGUUACCAGAUUUGUGGACAAAAAGAUCAUUUCUGAAGCAACAACCAUUCCGUUAACACCACCGCGCCGCUGCCAGUUUCAAAAACUCUGCCAUCAGUUUGUCAAUCUUGUACCGCGAAUUCUAGAUCAAGAAGAAUGGUUAAGAGACGAAGAGGAAGUCUGCUAUUGGCUCACGAUGAGGUUUGAGAAGUCAAAGUAG
Molecule: non-coding RNA, 315 nt
Organism: Vicia faba (fava bean)
Lineage: Eukaryota; Viridiplantae; Streptophyta; Magnoliopsida; Fabales; Fabaceae
Source: the annotation of a GenBank genome assembly